AAGGUUCUAUUUGAGAGACAAAUGCCAUGUUCAAGCAAGCAUAUUUGUGAUUUAGCCUUGUGGGUACUCCUUUGCUAAUUUCACCAAUGAUGUUGUCGAUUGGGUAAUCACAAUGGGUUCUCCAUUUUUAUGGAAGAUCACUUUGGUUAUGCUCUUGUUGAAUAGUUUCAUCUUUGUGUCCCGAUUGUUCAACAUGAUCAUCUUUGAUAUUGUCUUCAAUUAGUACAUUUAUU
Molecule: long non-coding RNA, 233 nt
Filed under: Lathyrus oleraceus (garden pea)
Lineage: Eukaryota; Viridiplantae; Streptophyta; Magnoliopsida; Fabales; Fabaceae
Description: Pisum sativum (pea) long non-coding RNA (PSAT_LNC038219)
Source: RNAcentral